GAUAAACGCUGGCGGCGUGCAUAACACAUGCAAGUCGAACGAUGAAACUUAGCUGAUUUCUUCGGAAUGAAAUUAAGUGGAUUAGUGGCGAACGGGUGAGUAACACGUGAGUAACCUGCCUUACACAAGGGGAUAGCCUUUGGAAACGAAGAAUAAUACCCUAUAACGUCAAUUUAUCGCAUGAUAAAAUGACCAAAGAUUUAUCGGUGUAAGAUGGACUUGCGUCUGAUUAGCUAGUUGGUGAGAUAAAAGCCCACCAAGGCGACGAUCAGUAGCCGGCUUGAGAGAGUGUACGGCCACAUUGGGACUGAGACACGGCCCAAACUCCUACGGGAGGCAGCAGUGGGGAAUUUUGCACAAUGGGGGAAACCCUGAUGCAGCGACGCCGCGUGAUUUAGAAGGCCUUCGGGUUGUAAAAAUCUUUUUUAUGGGAUGAAAAUGACAGUACCAUAAGAAUAAGGUCCGGCUAAAUACGUGCCAGCAGCCGCGGUAAUACGUAUGGACCGAGCGUUGUCCGGAAUCAUUGGGCGUAAAGGGUACGUAGGCGGCCUAGUAAGUUAGAAGUGAAAUAAUAUAGAUCAACUAUAUAAAGCUUUUAAAACUGUUAGGCUUGAGAGAUGAAAGAGAAAGUGGAAUUCCUAGUGUAGCGGUGAAAUGCGCAGAUAUUAGGAAGAAUACCGGUGGCGAAGGCGACUUUCUGGUCAUCAUCUGACGCUGAGGUACGAAAGCGUGGGUAGCAAACAGGAUUAGAUACCCUGGUAGUCCACGCUGUAAACGAUGAGUGUUAGGUUCUUGGAAUAAUCUGGGAGCCGCAGCUAACGCAUUAAACACUCCGCCUGGGGAGUACGCACGCAAGUGUG
Molecule: ribosomal RNA, 860 nt
Filed under: uncultured Clostridia bacterium
Lineage: Bacteria; Bacillati; Bacillota; Clostridia
Description: bacterial SSU rRNA
Rfam family: Bacterial small subunit ribosomal RNA
Source: RNAcentral